This 3176-nucleotide unclassified non-coding RNA is filed under the name Hevea brasiliensis (rubber tree). The record is from RNAcentral. Lineage: Eukaryota; Viridiplantae; Streptophyta; Magnoliopsida; Malpighiales; Euphorbiaceae.
GGCAGAAAGUGAGCUCUGUUUGCGAGUAUAACCAAAUUUCUCCGCUGUAGCUUCUUGUGUGUAGAUGCUACCUAUACAGAUGAAUUUUAUACAUUGUAAAGUGAGGAAAAAUACUACAUGAGUGGAUAUAUUUAAAAACACAAAAAUCUAUGUAAACAAUAAAACAAAGCAGCUGCAUCUAGUCUACAGAGGUUGCAAAAACAGAAGAAACAAAAGAACUUCUAGUUGCCUCAAAGACCUAGCAAUCUUCAUCUGUUUGUGACUGUUGUUUACUCAUUGUAUUCCCAGAGCUUUGAUUCCCUUAAUCAAUGACAAGGAAUAAGCAUUAUUUUGUUUCCAUUCCUCUCUACUUUCCUUCUUUUGUUCUGCUGCCAUGAAGAAUUGAUCAUUACCAUCAAGAAUGCUUACUGUCUGCCUCAUGCUUGGUCUUAAUUCUGGGUUGGACCUAGUGCAUGUAAUUCCCAAUUUUAUGAGUCUCAUCAGUUCCUUAUGAUCGUACACACAGUUCAACCUUAUAUCAACGAGGUCCUCCAGUGGCCUUUUCUGUGCCUCAAACUCAUGAACUCUAUUGACCACUAGCACCUCAGGUCGCCGGAAGUCUACAGCCAUCUGUCCAGUGACCACCUCAAGCACUACCACACCAAAGCUAUACACAUCAGCCAUUGGCGUUGCUUCGCCAGAUUCUAUGUACUCUGGUGACAUGUAACCAAAAAUCCCGCGAACUGAUUUAUUUCCUUUACUGGCUGCUUUAUGGGCACGGUCAUUUCUUGUCAAGAAUUCCGCAAGGGCAAAGUUACCGAGUCGUGGGUUCAUAUCUGGAUCAAGAAUGACAGAAGAAGAGGUGAUGUUUCUGUGGAUAACUUGUUCAUCCCAUUCCUCAUGAAGAUAAAGAAUGGCAGAAGCAAGGGACUUGACAAUGUUGUAUCGGUGAUGCCAUUGCAGGAUAGAAUGGCCAACUCUGUUAUCAUGAUGGAAAAGGAGGUGACUUAGGAGACGAUUUGCUGAAUAAUCAUAGACGACAAGCAACUCUCCUUGCUCGGUGCACCAUCCACGGAGCUGUAUUAGGUUGCGAUGGCGGAGCUUGGCUAAAUUUUGGAGUUCAGAUGAAAAUCGUGUUCUUAUUGCAGGGCAUUUUGUCAUGCCAAGCCUCUUCACCAGAACCUGGUGGCCAUCACCGAGGAUGCCUUGGUAAGCAGUUCCAAAGUCCACCUCCGCUACCCUAUGUGAGUCAGCGAAAUUGUUAGUAGCAGAAAUAAUUUCCUUGUAGGAUAUCUCCCUUGGAGUUUCCACCAUGAAGUGUUUGCUUUGUCGAUGACUUCUGUUGUUAGAUGAACUAAGAUCAUUGUUUCCCAAUUCUGCAGUUGCAUAUAUAGUUUCUCCAAUGGCUGUGACAAAGGUUGAAGUAGUGGAUGUGACUGUAGUGUUGGAGCUCGGUGUAGAGGUGGUGGACCUGGCAGUGGUGUUGCUUGUGCUAGUAUUGGAAGGGGAGGAUAAGGACACGUAUCGAGGAUGGGACUGAAAUGAUGGUAGAGGUGGCAAGUUGCCUGAAAUGUUUCCAGAAAGUAUUUCCACAAUCCAUUUCAUGUUAGGCCGAAGUUGUGGGUUGUGGAGUGUGCAGAGGAGCCCGAGAUGAAUCAAUCGCUCCAUAUCAGAGAGCGAAUAGGAUCCAUCUGGGAGCCUACUGUCCCCUGCUUGAAAAGGUUUCCCCAUAUCGUAUAGUCUUCUGAUCCAGUCAAGCAAAAUGAUCUGAUCAUCUGAGUAUGUGAGAUCCACAGCCCGCCUCCCAGACACUACUUCUAACACAACAAUCCCAAAACUGAAAACAUCAGAUUUUGCAGUAGCAACACUUUUUUUCUGGAAGCUUUCAGGUGGCAAAUAACCAAUAGUGCCACCAAUUCUAGUUGACUCUGCCAAGCGAAAUCGGUUGUUUCUCAUUGAAGGCAUCCUAGUUUGGUACUGAAGUUCAUGUUCCAGCCACCUUGCCAACCCAAAGUCACCAAGCCGAGCAUUAUAAUGGGAGUCAAGCAUCACGUUACUUGUCUUUACAUCCCUGUGAAUGAUCUGAGUCUCCAAUUGUUCAUGGAGAUAAUGUAGUGCAGCUGCCAGGCCACCAAUUAUUUUCCUUCUUCUCUCCCAAUUAAGAGGUGCCGCUGUCAUGUUUUCGGGCCUUCUAAAAAGCAACCUGUCGAGGCUGCGGUUAGGCAUGUAGUCAUAAACCAGAAGCAACUGGUCUUCGUGAACGCACCAUCCUCUUAGCCUUACAAGAUUCCUGUGUCGUAGGUGAGCCACAGCAACUAACUCGGCUUCAAAAGUCUUCUCAAACUGUUCCCCUUUCUCAGCCAAGCAUUUCACGGCAACCACAGUACCAUCACUAGGUAAAACUGCUCUAUAAACUUUGCCAAAACCUCCACUACCAAGAAUUUCAUCUUCACUAAACCCAUUAGAACCAAUAAAAAGCUCUGCAUAACUGAAAAUCCUCGGAUUGUCACCACCAACCUUCUCAGAUAUUUGAAUUCCGUCAAGAUCGUGAAACGCACCAGAUUCUUGUUUUCUUGGUCUCUCAGGUUGACAACAACCAACCCAUUUCGAGUCAUACAACCGGCGUAAAAAAUCACCAAAGAAAGUUAGAACUUGACUCCCGCAGCCACCACGGUGGUGGUGUUUUCUGACCUUUUCUUUAGCAGGUGAAGGUGGAGGGACCUGGGGGUGGUCAUAUGGUGCGAUUUCAUCUAAGUCAGCCGGCAAGAUGAUACAAAGGCGGUUGAGCUUCAUGACAAUGGUGCCAGAGAAUGGCUAGAAAGGCAUUAAAGGAAGGAAAUUAAGGUGACCAAACGAAAAUGAAGUGUACUUUACUGGACGUGCAUUUAUAUUAAUGAAAAUUGGGUACCUUUUCAAGGUGUGGUUUUAUUCAACCUUGUGAGGUUGCAUGGUUGAAUUGUAUUCAAUCAACCGCUCAACAAGGGACCUACCAAGCAUACAUCACCAUGGAAGGUUCUCAACAGCAAAAAAUUUGAAGAAAAAAAAAACCCUACUCUUCAGAACCUUAAAUUUCAUAUUCUAUAGUUUCUGGAGCACAUCCAAGAAUGCAAUGGAUGUUUUCACGAGAGGUUUCUUGGUCGUACACAACACCUUUAUUAGAGAGCUUACAUGGUCUUGAAGUCUGCUUUAACAUGUCA